This 468-nucleotide ribosomal RNA is filed under the name uncultured bacterium. RNAcentral describes it as "partial 16S ribosomal RNA". It matches the Rfam family "Bacterial small subunit ribosomal RNA", at positions 28 to 507 of the family's 1533-position model. The record is from RNAcentral.
GACGAACGCUCGCGGCGUGCUUAACACAUGCAAGUCGAACGGAAAGGCCCUGCUUUUGUGGGGAGCUCGAGUGGCGAACGGGUGAGUAACACGUGAGUAACCUGCCCUUGACUUUGGGAUAACUUCAGGAAACUGGGGCUAAUACCGGAUAGGAGCUCCUGCUGCAUGGUGGGGGUUGGAAAGUUUCGGCGGUUGGGGAUGGACUCGCGGCUUAUCAGCUUGUUGGUGGGGUAGUGGCUUACCAAGGCUUUGACGGGUAGCCGGCCUGAGAGGGUGACCGGCCACAUUGGGACUGAGAUACGGCCCAGACUCCUACGGGAGGCAGCAGUGGGGAAUAUUGCACAAUGGGCGGAAGCCUGAUGCAGCAACGCCGCGUGCGGGAUGACGGCCUUCGGGUUGUAAACCGCUUUCGCCUGUGACGAAGCGUGAGUGACGGUAAUGGGUAAAGAAGCACCGGCUAACUACGUG